GUAGGCGGUUGUUUAAGUUUGGUGUGAAAUCUCCCGGCUCAACUGGGAGGGUGCGCCGAAUACUGAAUGACUUGGAGUGCGGGAGAGGAAAGUGGAAUUCCUGGUGUAGCGGUGAAAUGCGUAGAUAUCAGGAGGAACACCGGUGGUGUAGACGGCUUUCUGGACCGUAACUGACGCUGAGACACGAAAGCGUGGGUAGCAAACAGGAUUAGAUACCCUGGUAGUCCACGCCCUAAACGAUGCAUAUUUGGUGUGGGCAGUUCAUUCUGUCCGUGCCGGAGCUAACGCGUUAAAUAUGCCGCCUGGGGAGUACAGUCGCAAGGCUGAAACUCAAAGGAAUUGACGGGGGCCCGCACAAGCGGUGGAGCAUGUGGUUCAAUUCGACGCAACGCGAAGAACCUUACCUGGGCUCGAACGGCUGGUCAACGGAGGUGGAAACAUCUUUACCCCGCAAGGGGGUCCAGUCGAGGUGCUGCAUGGCUGUCGUCAGCUCGUGUCGUGAGAUGUUGGGUUAAGUCCCGCAACGAGCGCAACCCUUGUCCUGUGUUGCCAUCAUUCAGUUGGGAACUCGCAGGAGACCGCCAGCGAUAAGUUGGAGGAAGGUGGGGAUGACGUCAAGUCCUCAUGGCCUUUAUGUCCAGGGCUACACACGUGCUACAAUGGGCGGUACAAAGCGUCCCAAACCCGCGAGGGGGAGGCAAUCGCAAAAAACCGUUCUCAGUUCGGAUUGCAGGCUGCAACUCGCCUGCAUGAAGCUGGAAUCGCUAGUAAUGGCAGAUCAGCACGCUGCCGUGAAUACGUUCCCGGGCCUUGUACACACCGCCCGUCACAUCACGAAAGUGGAUUGUACUAGAAG
RNAcentral lists this ribosomal RNA (856 nucleotides) under uncultured bacterium. Its description in RNAcentral is "bacterial SSU rRNA". It matches the Rfam family "Bacterial small subunit ribosomal RNA", at positions 571 to 1426 of the family's 1533-position model. The record is from RNAcentral.